Molecule: ribosomal RNA, 496 nt
Filed under: uncultured bacterium
Lineage: Bacteria
Description: partial 16S ribosomal RNA
Rfam family: Bacterial small subunit ribosomal RNA
Source: RNAcentral
GAUGAACGCUGGCGGCGUGCCUAAUACAUGCAAGUCGAGCGAACAGACGAGGAGCUUGCUCCUCUGACGUUAGCGGCGGACGGGUGAGUAACACGUGGAUAACCUACCUAUAAGACUGGGAUAACUUCGGGAAACCGGAGCUAAUACCGGAUAAUAUAUUGAACCGCAUGGUUCAAUAGUGAAAGACGGUUUUGCUGUCACUUAUAGAUGGAUCCGCGCCGCAUUAGCUAGUUGGUAAGGUAACGGCUUACCAAGGCGACGAUGCGUAGCCGACCUGAGAGGAUGUUCUGCCCCACUGGAACUGAGACACGCUCCAGACUCCUACGGGAGGCAGCAGUAGUGAAUCUUCCGCAAUGGGCGAAAGCCUGACGGAGCAACGCCGCGUGAGUGAUGAAGGUCUUCGGAUCGUAAAACUCUGUUAUUAGGAAAGAACAAAUGUGUAAGUAACUAUGCACGUCUUGACGGUACCUAAUCAGAAAGCCACGGCUAACAACGU